GAAAGUGAAAGUAACUGUGUGGUCUACGCCGUUACAAAACGACUGUGGAAAAUGCAGCGCACAUUUCUCCGCAACAUUAGAAGUAGGAUAAAUGUGUUUAUUUGAAGGACAGACGGACAGAAUCUGUGAAUUGGUGUGUGAGAGUGUCACGGUUGUCGUCGGAAGGAUGAGACCAAAGCGCAGCGUGGGGUCAGUGAUCUAAAAUGAGUCACUCUGGGGAGAGAGAGGAGG
Salvelinus namaycush (lake trout) is the source of this 231-nucleotide long non-coding RNA. RefSeq lists it as uncharacterized. The transcript is spliced from 3 exons. NCBI's taxonomy places the organism in Eukaryota, Metazoa, Chordata, Actinopteri, Salmoniformes, Salmonidae. The record is from RefSeq and is a predicted model, not a curated record.